Molecule: long non-coding RNA, 636 nt
Organism: Arabidopsis lyrata subsp. lyrata
Lineage: Eukaryota; Viridiplantae; Streptophyta; Magnoliopsida; Brassicales; Brassicaceae
Exons: 2
Source: RefSeq, a predicted model, not a curated record
AAAAUAUCUAAGAAGAAAUCGUUCCCUCGAAUCAUGCUCUUCCUCUUCUCCGUUCACAACCACCAAACUUUCCUCUUCUCUAUCUGCCAUUACUCUCACUGUAAAAUUACACGGUUUUGAUUCAUGGGUUAUUUCAAAAUCGGGAUUAAGAAACAAGGGUUUGAGAUGUAUAAGAAGAUGCAUGAAGAUGGUGUUUUCCUUAAUCUCUAUACUGAAUAACUGUGUGAUGAAGCAGCUUUGCAAAGAUGGAAGAGCAAUAGAUGCAUUCAAAGUGUUCGACGAAAUGCGUGAAAGAGGAGUUUCAUGUAAUUUUAUUUACCUUGAUCACAAUCUCUUCGACUUUGUCAUCUGUUUGGUCCAACGGCUAUUGGUUUCAGGAAAUCUUACGACUAUCUCCUUGUCUAAUGAAGAGGAUUCGAUGCUAUGGGAUGAUUGAUGUCGUCGUCGGCCGAGACUUGCUCACUCCGGUGAGAGUGUAUGAGCUUCGUCUCAAUUUCUUCGUAUUCUUCCCUCCCUUCAUUAUUUAUUUUGGGCUUCAUAUUGGGCCCAUUAGCUCUUCAUUUGGUUUGUGUGGGCUUUCUGUAAACAAUGGUGGGCACUUUGGUUUUUUAGAUUUAAUGCAUAAAUUUCAACAAA